CAGGAUGAACGCUGGCGGCGCGCCUAACACAUGCAAGUCGAACGGUUAAAGCACCCUCGGGUGUGAAUAGAGUGGCGAACGGCUGAGUAACACGUGGGCAACCUGCCCCUCGCACCGGGACAGCCUCGGGAAACCGUGGGUAAUACCGGAUACGCCGCCGCCCCCGCAUGGGGGAGGCGGGAAAGCCCAGACGGCGAGGGAUGGGCCCGCGGCCUGUUAGCUAGUUGGUGGGGUAACGGCCCACCAAGGCCAUUAUGGGUAGCUGGGUUGAGAGACCGACCAGCCAGAUUGGGACUGAGACACGGCCCAGACUCCUACGGGAGGCAGCAGUGGGGAAUCUUGCACAAUGGGCGAAAGCCUGAUGCAGCGACGCCGCGUGCGGGACGAAGGCCUUCGGGUUGUAAACCGCUUUCAGCAGGGACGAGGCCGAGAGGUGACGGUACCUGCAGAAGAAGCCCCGGCUAACUACGUGCCAGCCGCCGC
This 483-nucleotide ribosomal RNA is filed under the name uncultured bacterium. RNAcentral describes it as "bacterial SSU rRNA". It matches the Rfam family "Bacterial small subunit ribosomal RNA", at positions 25 to 518 of the family's 1533-position model. The record is from RNAcentral.